AAGGUGAUAUGAACCGUUAUAACCGGCGAUGUCCGAAUGGGGAAACCCAGUGCAAUUCGUUGCACUAUCGUUAACUGAAUACAUAGGUUAACGAGGCGAACCGGGGGAACUGAAACAUCUAAGUACCCCGAGGAAAAGAAAUCAACCGAGAUUCCCCCAGUAGCGGCGAGCGAACGGGGAGCAGCCCAGAGUCUGAAUCAGCUUGUGUGUUAGUGGAACGGUCUGGAAAGUCCGACGGUACAGGGUGAUAGUCCCGUACACCAAAAUGCACAGGCUGUGACUCGAAGAGUAGGGCGGGACACGUGGUAUCCUGUCUGAAUAUGGGGGGACCAUCCUCCAAGGCUAAAUACUCCUGACUGACCGAUAGUGAACCAGUACCGUGAGGGAAAG
This 390-nucleotide ribosomal RNA is filed under the name Klebsiella pneumoniae. RNAcentral's name for it is "bacterial LSU rRNA". It matches the Rfam family "Bacterial large subunit ribosomal RNA", at positions 83 to 513 of the family's 2925-position model. The record is from RNAcentral. Lineage: Bacteria; Pseudomonadati; Pseudomonadota; Gammaproteobacteria; Enterobacterales; Enterobacteriaceae.